Molecule: ribosomal RNA, 253 nt
Filed under: uncultured bacterium
Lineage: Bacteria
Description: partial 16S ribosomal RNA
Rfam family: Bacterial small subunit ribosomal RNA
Source: RNAcentral
UACGUAGGGUGCGAGCGUUGUCCGGAAUUACUGGGCGUAAAGAGCUCGUAGGUGGUUUGUCACGUUGUUCGUGAAAACUCACAGCUUAACUGUGGGCGUGCGGGCGAUACGGGCAGACUAGAGUACUGCAGGGGAGACUGGAAUUCCUGGUGUAGCGGUUGAAUGCGCAGAUAUCAGGAGGAACACCGGUGGCGAAGGCGGGUCUCUGGGCAGUAACUGACGCUGAGGAGCGAAAGCGUGGGGAGCGAACAGG